This 67-nucleotide transfer RNA is filed under the name Rhinebothroides sp. MZUSP 8019. RNAcentral's name for it is "tRNA-Cys". Lineage: Eukaryota; Metazoa; Platyhelminthes; Cestoda; Rhinebothriidea; Rhinebothriidae. The record is from RNAcentral.
GGGUAUGUAGCUUUAAAGUCUUAACUUUGCAAAAGUUAAUGUGAGACUAUUUUGGUCUCUAUGCCUU